Molecule: long non-coding RNA, 2703 nt
Filed under: Pandoravirus neocaledonia
Description: hypothetical ncRNA
Source: RNAcentral
CGCACGGGCGACGCGACGCAACGGAUCGGCAGCGUCGUCCAAAAUGCCACACGCACACGUGCACGCCCGCUAGGCCAGCGUCUCCCAGCGCACCUGGUAGCCCUCGCCGCUCAGGUAGCGGUGCACGCUCCAGCCCUGAUUGCGAAACAGGCUAAAGUCGUCGACAAAGUAGAUGAAGAGCGGCUCGUUCUUGGCCGGGUGAGUGCGAAGGGCGCGUCCGGUGGCCUGCUCGACGUCGCUGCGGGGCGAGACCAUGACCACCGUGUCCAGCUGCGGAAUGUCCAUGCCCUCGCCGGCUUCGGCAUAGGUGGCAAGGAUGACAUCGCACCGCUUGCCCUGUUCGCGCUCGUGCCGCUUCAUGCCGCCCACGAAAAACCCGAUACUAAAGAGCACCUCGCCGCGUUCAUUGUCGUCGUCCGGCGCGUCUGUGCCUAAAGCGUUGGUUCUUGGCGUGCCCUCGUGUCCGGGCAGCGCGUUGGGAUCAGUUGGCGGUUGGACAAGCGCCGUGGCCGAACGCGGGGUCCAUCCCUUGGGCAGCGACACUGAUGGGCGGCUCGCGGCUGACGCUCGGGGGUCGCUGUUUGGACGGGUCGAUGAGCGCGCUGGCAACAUGGAUAGGAUGAGCGUGCGGUUGGUCUCGCUCUCCUCGUCGACCAUCAAGAGGUCGCGUGCAAUGCGCGCUGUUUCGUCGCCUCCUCUGGCGUCGCACAAAGUCUCGGACGUUGUCGAUGAUGAUGGUGACGGUGAUGAUGACGACACAGAGGAUGCGGCGUCGAGGGGCGCACCUGCUACGACGACAUCCUCCCCGGUGAGGUGGCGCAGCAUCGCUUCGAUGACCAAUUCACGAAGUAGGGAAAGCUGCUCACGGCGGUCGCUGAGGACAAUGACCUUGCGACGGGCGGGUAGCGGUUGCGGAUUGACGACGCAGUCGACGAUGGCGCGCGCCGCGUAAUAGUUGCGCACGGGGUCGGUCGCCAGGCGAUUGAUCAUGAGCGGAACGUUGGGCUUGCCGUUGCGCAUGGUUAUCUCCUCCUGAUCGCCCUUGGCGUAGCGCACCAUGCGGCACACGACGCCGUCCCAGACGCGGCGCACGUUGGCCACCAUCGGGCCAAAGGUCCAAAAGAGCGCGGGCGUGAGACCGUCCUUCCGGCGCGGCGUCGCCGACAGGCCCAGCGUGUAGUAGCAUCGCAGCGCCGAACUCACCUGCGAGAAGGCCGGUGCCGCCAUGUGGUGCAUCUCAUCGGCCACCCAGAGGCCAAAUGAAUCAAACAUCUCGGGCUCGUAGCGACGCGCCAGCAGCGUCUGCACCAUGGCCAGCACAAUGUCAUAGUCGUCGCCGACGUCGGCGCGAUCGCGGUGAAUGCGGCCGACGCGUGCGGUCGGCGCAAAGCGCCGUAUCUCCUCCUCGGUCUUGUCCAUGUGCUCCUCCUGCGCGACGGUAAAGAUGGCCUUGCGUCCGGUCAUGCACAUGAUAUAGAUGCCACACACGGUCUUGCCGAAACCACACGGGCAUUUGAUCGACGCGCCCGGUGUGCGCGUCAUCCGUGCCCGCUCGGCGGCGGCGGCAGUGGCCCCAUCUCCCAUUGUCAGUGACGCCAUCGACGCAUUUGACAUAGGUAUUGCGCGCGCGGGACGCAAAGAUGUGAUCGCAUGCGCGCCCUUUGCCGUCGUCUGACGGCGCGCCGACGCUUUGGACGCUAGUGUAACGGCAAGGGACGGGCGCGGCGGGACCACGCUCGUCGCCAACGCCAUAGAAUUGGCAGCCUGCGCCAUCAUUUGCGGCGACUGGGCGAGACGCGCGGCGGCGGUCGCGGGGUCGAUACCAAACUGCACGAGCGCGCGGCGACACACCUCGGUCUGCUCGGGCGUGAGCACGCCGAUAAAAGGCACGUGCGUCGGCGUGCCGCGAGCGCGCCGAUCGCGUUCGGGCGGCGGCAUGCCCCACCGAGCCGUGCCAUAGUAACGCGGCACGGUAAAGGUGCGCUCGUCCUCGCGGUACAAUCGCACCGUCUCUGUGCCCGUGUCGUCGUCGACAUGGCGCGUCGAAAGCCCCGUGCUGGUGGCGGCGCGACGGCUACGUGGACCGCCGCCCCUCCCGCGGCCGCCGCGAUUGGGCGCCGCUCGGUACUGGUUGGGCGGCGGCUCGAUGGUGAGCCACCUUCGGUGCGCUUCGAAAUUCGCGUCGGUCAGACCUGCCUUGGAAACGGUGUAAUGGGCGCCGAGUAUGGCAGUGCGCGCCGCCGGCUUUGGUUCGGGGAGCAAGGGCAUAGGCGCCGGCGCGCGAGUAUCGGGAAGGGCGGCGGACGAUGGCGAGCCAGCAGUCUUGGCCGCGGCUUCGACAUUGGUCUUUGGAGGCGCGGCGACGACCACAGCGAUACGCGCAGGUUUCAAAACCGCAGCGUUGACUGUCGUUGUCGUCGGCGUCAUUGCCGUCGCCGUUGCUUUUGGCAUUGUCGCGGACGUUGGUGGCGAGACCGACGACGGCGCCUGCCGGAGGACGAUGCGCGUCUGCACGGGACCCGUCGAGAGAGCCGGCGGAGCGCGCUGCUGUCUUGGCUCUGUGCGCACACCUGCCGUUGGUGUACCAAUUUCGUCAUCGAUGAUAAAUUGCACGCGUCGCCGACAGGCAGGGCGUUCGGCGUCGUGCGCGACGGGCGCCGGCCUCUUGUUGGAGCCGGCAUGCAUGACGCGUACUUUUUUUCG